CUUCAGGUGAGAAGUAGGGGAGUGAUCCCCUGAAGAUGAAGGGGGAGGGCUAAUUGUGCCCCUCCCCAAUGAUGGGAGGUGAGGAGAGAUGUCCCUUCCUGGUCUCCUCCAGAAGACUCUAAGGGAUCGAUCUCUGCGUGAUCCAAAUGGACUACCUCAGCUGCCUCUGAAGCUGACACCUUGAGCUAUGGGGAAACUGGGGCACAGAGAGGGGAAGCGACUUGCUCAAGGUCACGCAGCAGGCCAGUGGCAGAGCUGGAAAUAGAACCUUGGACCCUUGAGUCCCAGUCCACUUCUCUGUCCAUUAGGCAACACCGCAUAAGGGCAGUAGGAGGCUACUGGACUCAUCGUCGAGGCAAG
Molecule: long non-coding RNA, 360 nt
Organism: Chelonia mydas (Green sea turtle)
Lineage: Eukaryota; Metazoa; Chordata; Testudines; Cheloniidae
Exons: 3
Source: RefSeq, a predicted model, not a curated record